Molecule: long non-coding RNA, 1301 nt
Filed under: Equus caballus (horse)
Lineage: Eukaryota; Metazoa; Chordata; Mammalia; Perissodactyla; Equidae
Description: lncRNA (ENSECAG00000055025.1)
Source: RNAcentral
UGGCUCCCCGUGGCCAAGGACGGGGCUGCGAGCUCCUCGGGAGACCUGCCCGCCCGCAUCUUGAUGUGUGUCCUGAGCGUCUCAGAUUUCAUUUUGAUAAACAACACUCUGUGAUGGUUGUGUUAGAAGCGUUCUGAGUGGUGACCUCUAACCUUUGCAUCUGAGUCUUCACCUCUUCCGCACUCGUGAGUGACGGGCCGUCAAGGCACACGCUGCAGGCUCUCCUCCUCGCACCUCUGCUUCCUGGUGCCCGCGGCCCUCGUGUCUUUCGAGUUCGUUGGUCUCUUCCUCUGGUGCUGCUGAGGUUCUCUGUGUCCUCCACUCGACAGUGCGGAAACAGCCAUGUCUGCCUCAGUCCACUCACGUGAGCAGCCACACGGGACCCUCAGCCACCCGUUAACCGUGCGGAUCUAACGUGGCCUCAGUAUUGAUCCGCCCCGUUGGUUUGGUUUCAUCUUGCAGGACAGGCUCCUGUGACAAGCUCUCUAAGGAGUUUGGACUCUUGCUUCUGUCACAGCCACAGAGCCUCGGGUCGCCUCCCACGACGUCAUUCCAGGCAGUAAUGGAGUCGCUGACGGGGCAAGGCGAGGACAGUGUGGGCCCCAACAGCUCCUUUCCUCCAGUGCAGCAGCUUGGCGGGCUGGCUGCUCAGCCCGCAUCUGCACCAUCGCCCUGAAGCUCAGAAGGUCCUGGGGACUCGGGCGGGUGCUUCGCCGAAGUGCUGAUUCUGCGUCUGCAGAAGGGCCGUCCCAGGCCCCCUGGAGCCGGUGCACGCCUGUCAGAUGCAGUGACUCGUUCAGUCCUGGGUUAACUGGAUCACAGCACGGUCCUGCCCAGUGGAGCCUCACUCUGGGGGACCAGGCGCCAAAAGGAUGCCUGCAGGAUCCCGAGACUUCUCAGCGCAACGAGACGGGGCCAGGGUGCUGCUCCCAGACAGGUAUGUGGGCUCCCAACGUUCCAGAGGAAGCAAGGACGUCAGGAGCCAGGAGAACAGCUGAGACGAGCCAAUUCUCCAAAGAGGUCAGGCGUCUGAGUGGGCUCAGCCACGGCUUCUGUUCCUGGUCACCCGGGGCUGAAGGCACAGUGUUGGCUGGGCAGCUCUCACCUGGAGCUCGGGGGAGACUCUGCUUCAGACUCCUUCAGGCCCUCAGCAGAAUCCAGAUCCUCAUGGUUGUAGGACUGAGGUCUCCAUUUCCACUGGCUGUCGGCAAGGCCCAUCCCUAUCUCCCAGAGGCCCCUCCCUGUGACCCCUGGGCCUCAGAACAUGGUCGGGCAGUCGUGCGGCUCUGCUUUCUCUCUGC